UACGUAGGGGGCAAGCGUUGUCCGGAUUUACUGGGCGUAAAGAGCGUGUAGGCGGCCACGCAGGUCCGUUGUGAAAACUGGAGGCUCAACCUUCAGACGUCGACGGAAACCGUGUGGCUAGAGUCCGGAAGAGGAGAGUGGAAUUCCUGGUGUAGCGGUGAAAUGCGCAGAUAUCAGGAAGAACACCAAUAGCGAAGGCAGCUCUCUGGGACGGUACUGACGCUGAGACGCGAAAGCGUGGGGAGCGAACAGG
Molecule: ribosomal RNA, 253 nt
Filed under: uncultured bacterium
Lineage: Bacteria
Description: partial 16S ribosomal RNA
Rfam family: Bacterial small subunit ribosomal RNA
Source: RNAcentral